Molecule: ribosomal RNA, 239 nt
Filed under: uncultured Lachnospiraceae bacterium
Lineage: Bacteria; Bacillati; Bacillota; Clostridia; Lachnospirales; Lachnospiraceae
Description: partial 16S ribosomal RNA
Rfam family: Bacterial small subunit ribosomal RNA
Source: RNAcentral
GGACGGGUGAGUAACGCGUGGGUAACCUGCCUCAUACAGGGGGAUAACAGUUGGAAACGACUGCUAAUACCGCAUAAGCGCACAGUACCGCAUGGUACAGUGUGAAAAACUCCGGUGGUGUGAGAUGGACCCGCGUCUGAUUAGCUUGUUGGCAGGGUAACGGCCUACCAAGGCAACGAUCAGUAGCCGACCUGAGAGGGUGACCGGCCACAUUGGGACUGAGACACGGCCCAGACUCC